GUCCGUUUUUGCGACUGGCGCCGUAGAGGUGGAGCACCACCGGGAAGCGACCGACGAGGCCGGCACCGCGCGCCUGGGUGUGGCCA
Molecule: non-coding RNA, 86 nt
Filed under: Amycolatopsis methanolica
Lineage: Bacteria; Bacillati; Actinomycetota; Actinomycetes; Pseudonocardiales; Pseudonocardiaceae
Also listed under: 1 other name
Description: ZTP sequence
Rfam family: ZMP/ZTP riboswitch aptamer (pfl RNA motif)
About the family: Previously known as pfl RNA. ZMP is also known as AICAR.
Source: RNAcentral